UACGGAGGGUGCAAGCGUUGUCCGGAAUUAUUGGGCGUAAAGAGCUCGUAGGCGGUUUGUCGAGUCUGCUGUGAAAUCCCGAGGCUCAACCUCGGGCUUGCAGUGGGUACGGGCAGACUAGAGUGAGGUAGGGGAGAUUGGAAUUCCUGGUGUAGCGGUGGAAUGCACAGAUAUCACGAGGAACACCGAUGGCGAAGGCAGAUCUCUGGGCCGUGACUGACGCUGAGGAGCGAAAGCAUGGGGAGCGAACAGG
This 253-nucleotide ribosomal RNA is filed under the name uncultured bacterium. RNAcentral describes it as "partial 16S ribosomal RNA". It matches the Rfam family "Bacterial small subunit ribosomal RNA", at positions 524 to 776 of the family's 1533-position model. The record is from RNAcentral.